This 401-nucleotide ribosomal RNA is filed under the name uncultured bacterium. RNAcentral describes it as "bacterial SSU rRNA". It matches the Rfam family "Bacterial small subunit ribosomal RNA", at positions 490 to 890 of the family's 1533-position model. The record is from RNAcentral.
GCCACGGCUAACUACGUGCCAGCAGCGCGGUAAUACGUAGGUGGCAAGCGUUGUCCGGAUUUAUUGGGCGUAAAGGGAGCGCAGGCGGUGACUUAAGUCUGAUGUGAAAGCCCACGGCUCAACCGUGGAAGGUCAUUGGAAACUGGGUCACUUGAGUACAGAAGAGGAAAGCGGAAUUCCAUGUGUAGCGGUGAAAUGCGUAGAUAUAUGGAGGAACACCAGUGGCGAAGGCGGCUUUCUGGUCUGUGACUGACGCUGAGGCUCGAAAGCGUGGGGAGCAAACAGGAUUAGAUACCCUGGUAGUCCACGCCGUAAACGAUGAGUGCUAAGUGUUGGAGGGUUUCCACCCUUCAGUGCUGGAGUUAACGCAUUAAGCACUCCGCCUGGGGAGUACGGUCGCA